This 438-nucleotide ribosomal RNA is filed under the name uncultured bacterium. RNAcentral describes it as "bacterial SSU rRNA". It matches the Rfam family "Bacterial small subunit ribosomal RNA", at positions 338 to 792 of the family's 1533-position model. The record is from RNAcentral.
CCUACGGGAGGCAGCAGUCGGGAAUAUUGCGCAAUGGAGGAAACUCUGACGCAGUGACGCCGCGUAUAGGAAGAAGGUUUUAGGAUUGUAAACUAUUUUAGACAGGGAAGAAAAAUGACUGUACCUGUAGAAUAAGCUCCGGCUAACUACGUGCCAGCAGCCGCGGUAAUACGUAGGGAGCAAGCGUUAUCCGGAAUUAUUGGGUGUAAAGGGUGCGUAGACGGGAAUACAAGUUGGUUGUGAAAUCCCUCAGCUUAACUGAGGAACUGCAACCAAAACUAUAUUUCUUGAGUGCAGGAGAGGAAAGCGGAAUUCCUAGUGUAGCGGUGAAAUGCGUAGAUAUUAGGAGGAACACCAGUGGCGAAGGCGGCUUUCUGGACUGUAACUGACGUUGAGGCACGAAAGUGUGGGGAGCAAACAGGAUUAGAUACCCUAGUA